AUUGAACGCUAGCGGGAUGCUUUACACAUGCAAGUCGAACGGCAGCGCGGACUUCGGUCUGUCGGCCAGUGGCGAACGGGUGAGUAGUGUAUGGGAACGUGCCCAGUAGCGUGUGCUAACUACACGACGGCGUGACUCAUACCGCAUUAGCGCUUCCGAGCUAAGCAUGAAAUCAUGAGACCUUCCGCCCUUGCGCGGUCCAAUGUCCCGAUAUCGGAUUAGCUAGUUGGCGGGGUAACGGCCCACCAAGGCGACGAUCCGUAGCUGGUCUGAGAGGACGAUCAGCCACACUGGGACUGAGACACGGCCCAGACUCCUACGGGAGGCAGCAGUGGGGAAUUUUGGACAAUGGGGGCAAGCCUGAUCCAGCCAUCCCGCGUGUGUGAUGAAGGCCUUCGGGUUGUAAAGCACUUUUGUCAGGAAAGAAACGCCGCGGGCUAAUACCCCGCGGAACUGACGGUACCUGAAGAAUAAGCACCGGCUAACUACGUG
This 492-nucleotide ribosomal RNA is filed under the name uncultured bacterium. RNAcentral's name for it is "partial 16S ribosomal RNA". It matches the Rfam family "Bacterial small subunit ribosomal RNA", at positions 30 to 507 of the family's 1533-position model. The record is from RNAcentral.